Molecule: long non-coding RNA, 847 nt
Filed under: Mytilus galloprovincialis (Mediterranean mussel)
Lineage: Eukaryota; Metazoa; Mollusca; Bivalvia; Mytilida; Mytilidae
Source: RNAcentral
AAUAAAAAACAGUCAUAUUCGGGAAUUAGACUGAACAAAUGGUUUAAAGGAAUAAGUAUACACAUCUUUCUUUAUCUAUAUACACAUGUAUAACUAAAAUUGAUGAAUGACAAAACGUUGAUCUACAAAUUAAUGCAUAUCAGAUGUUAAAGACAACCACGUCAACUCUUCUCUUUUUUAGUUAUGAUUGAUUAAUUGUUUGAUCGCUAAAAUUUCAAAUCUGUCUAUAUAUUUUACAACAAUCGUAAGCAUACACGUUAAUCAACAGUGCAAUUCGCGGGUACUUGUUUUUUUUUAAAUUUCGUUUGUCUACGAUAACAUAAAAUAAUUGAAUGUAAUAACUCCUUCAACAUGUAAACGGACUACUGUGCCUGGGGGUUGACUUUGUUCUAUUUUAUAGGAGCAAGACGUCAGCCAUGAAAAUUUUCUAAGCGUGGAUUUUAACAUUAUGGAUAACAACCGUUUAAUUUUUUAUCAUUCUUAGGCAUGAGUAAUAUAGUUUUACUACGAAGACUUGAGUUGUAAUUUCAAAACUUAACAUUUGUCAUCUGAUAGAUCAGAGGUCAAGGUUAGUUUUCGUUAGUAAUUAACAGUACUAAGAAUAAUUUACAUAAUUAUACUGGUUAUAUAUGCGCGUGAAAUCCUUAAGCAGUUUAAAUGGAAGGGUUUCGUUAUACCAUGUACAGAACGUGUUGAGUUGUCAGUUCAUCACACAGUCAUAUCGUAGGUACACCAUAGCUUCAGCGUACAGUUUAAUUUAUUGUAAUAUUUAUGAUUACGAAUCAUAAAGACUUUUAAGUUACAUAUAAUGAGCGUUGAACAAUUUUGUUCUUUGCCCAUGUAAAAG